Molecule: unclassified non-coding RNA, 231 nt
Filed under: uncultured fungus
Lineage: Eukaryota; Fungi
Description: sequence contains ITS1, 5.8S rRNA gene
Rfam family: 5.8S ribosomal RNA (bases 183-231)
Source: RNAcentral
UUUCCGUAGGUGAACCUGCGGAAGGAUCAUUAACGAGUUAGGGUCCUCCGGGGCCCGACCUCCAACCCUUUUGUGAACCACCUCGUUGCUUCGGGGGCGACCCUGCCGUUCGCGGCGUGGGGCCCCCGGAGCCCUUCAAACCCUGCGUAACUGAGUCGUCGGAGUUUAAACAAAUUAAACAAAACUUUCAACAACGGAUCUCUUGGUUCGGGCAUCGAUGAAGAACGCAGC